AAUGUGGCUGUCCAGGCAAGGAGCUUCUUAGGCAAUAGAAAAUCAGUCCUCUCCUGAACUGCAUCUGACUGAUAAUCUCAUAUAUUGACUUAAAAAUGUGCAGUAUAUAGAUUAAGAAAUGUAAGAGUUUAUAGUCUUCGAAUCAGUGUACCUAGAAUUUCCUUGCUCCACCACUCAUGUUGGGAAAAUUAAGGGCACUUUCUUCAACUAGGAGACCUUUGCCAGAGCAUGUGAAGACCUUCUUGGCAAACACCAGCCAUGCUCACUUCUCACCAUCCCCCAGUGCCACCUACUCUCUGCUCAACACUCUCCAUGCCCCUCCCAGAGCCAUUGAUCCCGUUCCACCAGAAGAUCACAUCUUAGAAAUGCCCCAGACAUCGUUGGACAUUUCUUCAUGCUUCAUGAGCUUCAAAAUCUUUUAAAAAUUUAAUGCGCUUAUGAAUCUCUAACAAGCUCCUAAAUAACUUGUAUGCUAUUGUUAAAAAACUCCAAAUAUUAAUAAGUAUUAGUAAAAUGUUGCUGUUAAUAGUAAAUCAGCUAAGCGUCAAAAUGCUACCUGGAAAAGCAAGCAGAAUAGACAUUCCAAUGUUAAAGGGCAUCAAGAGCAAGACUCUUAAAGAGCCUAUGAAAUCAUUUAAGUGUGAGAUAAAAAGGUUGGGAAUUUCAUACAUAUUUAGCAUUGCCUGAGAAAUGUCUCUAAGUUUUUCUUUUUUCACUCUAGAAUAUUACCAAAGUUGCAGUUAAUUACAUUUCUGCUGCUACAAAAACAUUUUUUCAUGCCUCAGUGAUUCAUGAAUCUUCCAUUGUGUGUAUUAGGCAGCAGCUCUUGUAGACAAUGACAGAGAAUA
This 848-nucleotide long non-coding RNA is filed under the name Homo sapiens (human). RNAcentral's name for it is "HSALNT0309370". The record is from RNAcentral. Lineage: Eukaryota; Metazoa; Chordata; Mammalia; Primates; Hominidae.